This 497-nucleotide ribosomal RNA is filed under the name uncultured bacterium. RNAcentral's name for it is "partial 16S ribosomal RNA". It matches the Rfam family "Bacterial small subunit ribosomal RNA", at positions 28 to 507 of the family's 1533-position model. The record is from RNAcentral.
GAUGAACGCUGGCGGCGUGCCUAAUACAUGCAAGUCGAGCGAACAGACGAGUAGCUUGCUCCUCUGACGUUAGCGGCGGACGGGUGAGUAACACGUGGAUAACCUACCUAUAAUACUUGGAUAACUUCGUGAAACCGUAUCUAAUACCGUAUAAUCUUUUUAACCGCAUUGUUCCACAGUGAAAGACGGUCUUUCUGUCACUUAUAGAUGGAUCAGCGCUGCAUUAGCUAGUUGGUAAGGUAAAGGCUUACCAAGGCAACGAUGCGUAGCCGACCUGAGAGGGUGAUCGGCCACACGGGAACUGAGACACGGGCAAGAAGACUACGGGAGGCAGCAGUAGGGAAUAUUCCGCAAUGGGCGAAAGAAUGACGGAGCAAAGCCGCGUGAGUGAAGAAGGUCUUCGGAUCGUAAAACUCUGUUAUUAGGGAAGAACAAAUGUGUAAGUAAAUAUGCACGUAAUGACGGUACCUAAUCAGAAAGCAACGGCUAACUACGUG